RNAcentral lists this ribosomal RNA (869 nucleotides) under Klebsiella pneumoniae. RNAcentral's name for it is "partial 23S ribosomal RNA". It matches the Rfam family "Bacterial large subunit ribosomal RNA", at positions 419 to 1290 of the family's 2925-position model. Lineage: Bacteria; Pseudomonadati; Pseudomonadota; Gammaproteobacteria; Enterobacterales; Enterobacteriaceae. The record is from RNAcentral. RNAcentral also lists the same sequence under 1 other name.
GGGACACGUGGUAUCCUGUCUGAAUAUGGGGGGACCAUCCUCCAAGGCUAAAUACUCCUGACUGACCGAUAGUGAACCAGUACCGUGAGGGAAAGGCGAAAAGAACCCCGGCGAGGGGAGUGAAAAAGAACCUGAAACCGUGUACGUACAAGCAGUGGGAGCACCUUCGGGUGUGACUGCGUACCUUUUGUAUAAUGGGUCAGCGACUUAUAUUCUGUAGCAAGGUUAACCGUAUAGGGGAGCCGCAGGGAAACCGAGUCUUAACUGGGCGUUAAGUUGCAGGGUAUAGACCCGAAACCCGGUGAUCUAGCCAUGGGCAGGUUGAAGGUUGGGUAACACUAACUGGAGGACCGAACCGACUAAUGUUGAAAAAUUAGCGGAUGACUUGUGGCUGGGGGUGAAAGGCCAAUCAAACCGGGAGAUAGCUGGUUCUCCCCGAAAGCUAUUUAGGUAGCGCCUCGUGAAUUCAUCUUCGGGGGUAGAGCACUGUUUCGGCUAGGGGGUCAUCCCGACUUACCAACCCGAUGCAAACUACGAAUACCGAAGAAUGUUAUCACGGGAGACACACGGCGGGUGCUAACGUCCGUCGUGAAGAGGGAAACAACCCAGACCGCCAGCUAAGGUCCCAAAGUCAUGGUUAAGUGGGAAACGAUGUGGGAAGGCACAGACAGCCAGGAUGUUGGCUUAGAAGCAGCCAUCAUUUAAAGAAAGCGUAAUAGCUCACUGGUCGAGUCGGCCUGCGCGGAAGAUGUAACGGGGCUAAACCAUGCACCGAAGCUGCGGCAGCGACACUAUGUGUUGUUGGGUAGGGGAGCGUUCUGUAAGCCUGCGAAGGUGACCUGUGAGGGUUGCUGGAGGUAUCAGAAGUG